Molecule: transfer RNA, 67 nt
Filed under: Diadromus collaris
Lineage: Eukaryota; Metazoa; Arthropoda; Insecta; Hymenoptera; Ichneumonidae
Description: tRNA-Ser
Source: RNAcentral
AGAUAAUAACUUGAAUAAGUAUAUGUUUUGAAAACAUAAAAUAGGAAUUUUAUUAUUCUAUUAUCUU